This 420-nucleotide ribosomal RNA is filed under the name uncultured bacterium. RNAcentral describes it as "bacterial SSU rRNA". It matches the Rfam family "Bacterial small subunit ribosomal RNA", at positions 355 to 773 of the family's 1533-position model. The record is from RNAcentral.
CAGGGAAUAUUGGUCAAUGGAUGCAAGUCUGAACCAGCCAUGCCGCGUGCAGGAAGACGGCCCUAUGGGUUGUAAACUGCUUUUGUCAGGGGAUAAAACAGCUCUGCGGAGCAAAUUGAAGGUACCUGGCGAAUAAGCCACGGCUAACUACGUGCCAGCAGCCGCGGUAAUACGUAGGUGGCAAGCGUUGUCCGGAUUUAUUGGGUUUAAAGGGUGCGUAGGCAGCCUUAUAAGUCAGUGCUGAAAUAUCCCGGCUUAACCGGGAGGGUGGCAUUGAUACUGUAGGGCUUGAGUAAAGUUGAGGUAGGCGGAAUUGACGGUGUAGCGGUGAAAUGCUUAGAUAUCGUCAAGAACACCGAUAGUGAAGACAGCUUACUAAACUUUAACUGACGCUGAGGCACGAAAGUGUGGGGAUCAAAC